Molecule: long non-coding RNA, 831 nt
Organism: Salmo salar (Atlantic salmon)
Lineage: Eukaryota; Metazoa; Chordata; Actinopteri; Salmoniformes; Salmonidae
Source: RefSeq, a predicted model, not a curated record
CACCCUUGAGACUGGAAUUCUAUCACGGCAACCCCCUAAUCCUUAUCUGAACUCUGUGACAACAAAGUAACUGUACUGUAGCCUACACAUUUCUUGUCUUAGUAAGAAACACUGAAGAAAACAAUAGCUUCCACGAUGGAUCCGAUCUUUUAAUCAGUGCUCGAUUAAUCUUGCCUGGCACAAUGGAACCAAUGGAAUAGCCCCAAGGUUUGGACACCACUCUGCAGAGAGCCCUCUAUCCUGACACCUCUGGAGCAAUGCUGCAGUUCCACUCUGCCCUGGUGUUUUCCUGCAGUCGACCAGACCCAGCAGUAAAGUACAGGGAGGCGAUCGACCUGGGGACUCAGGGUGGAUGGAGGGGGACGGACUAGAUUUGUCCUGUUGGAAGUUUGGAGGCCACUCUACAGAUGAACCCUCUAUCCUGACACCUUUGGAGCAGUGCUGCAGGAUCCGUCGCUCCACCCCACUGCUUCUGCCUGCGUCUCCUCUCCCUGCCCCAGUACAGUCUGUCAUGUCAUGAGGGACUCUCUUUUUCAUGAUCCUCUAUUCUCCGUGGCCCCUCUCCAAGCUGCAACUCUCCGCCCUGGACCGUUGCCUAGCGACCGUGCUCAGAACCUUGAGCCGUCGCCAGGAGCGACAGUGUUGCCGCCAUGGAAGAGGCGAGGAUGAUGUCACUCAUUACAAGACAUUACAUUACAUUUACAUUUACAAGACCUUGGUUACACCUGUGACACAUGCACGGUACACUCUUAGAAAAAAAAAUAUUUUGACAGUUGAAGUGUUGUUGUUGAGUGGGUGUGGCAACACUACACUUUUAGAAAAAAAAGGUGC